UACGUAGGGUGCGAGCGUUAAUCGGAAUUACUGGGCGUAAAGCGUGCGCAGGCGGUUUUGUAAGUCAGAUGUGAAAUCCCCGAGCUCAACCUGGGAACUGCGUUUGAAACUACAAGGCUAGAGUGUAGCAGAGGGGGGUAGAAUUCCACGUGUAGCAGUGAAAUGCGUAGAGAUGUGGAGGAAUACCAAUGGCGAAGGCAGCCCCCUGGGUUAACACUGACGCUCAUGCACGAAAGCGUGGGGAGCAAACAGG
RNAcentral lists this ribosomal RNA (253 nucleotides) under uncultured bacterium. RNAcentral describes it as "partial 16S ribosomal RNA". It matches the Rfam family "Bacterial small subunit ribosomal RNA", at positions 524 to 776 of the family's 1533-position model. The record is from RNAcentral.